Molecule: non-coding RNA, 1235 nt
Organism: Ciona savignyi (Pacific transparent sea squirt)
Lineage: Eukaryota; Metazoa; Chordata; Ascidiacea; Phlebobranchia; Cionidae
Source: Rfam
UACCUGGUUGAUCCUGCCAGUAGUCAUAUGCUUGUCUCAAAGAUUAAGCCAUGCAAGUCUAAGUACGAGCUCUCGUACAGUGAAACUGCGAAUGGCUCAUUAAAUCAGUUAUGGUUCAUUUGAUCGUACAGUUUACUUGGAUAACUGUGGUAAUUCUAGAGCUAAUACAUGCGAGAAGCGCCGACCUCGCGGGAGGCGUGCAUUUAUCAGACCAAAAACCGGCCGCGUCUUCGGGCGCGUUCGCCUUGGUGACUCUGGAUAACUUUGCGGAUCGCACGGUCUAGCACCGGCGACGGAUCAUUCAAGUGUCUGCCCUAUCAACUUUCGUCGGUACGGUAUUUGCCUACCGAGGUUCUUACGGGUGACGGGGAAUCAGGGUUCGAUUCCGGAGAGGGAGCCUGAGAAACGGCUACCACAUCCAAGGAAGGCAGCAGGCGCGCAAAUUACCCAUUCCCGACGCGGGGAGGUAGUGACGAAAAAUAACAAUGCAGGACUCGUUCGAGGCCCUGUAAUUGGAAUGAGUACACUUUAAAAGCUUUAACGAGUAUCCAUUGGAGGGCAAGUCUGGUGCCAGCAGCCGCGGUAAUUCCAGCUCCAAAAGGGUAUAUAUUUAAGUUGUUGCGGUUAAAAAGCUCGUAGUUGGAUUUUGGGCGCAGGCGGCCGGUCCGUCGCAAGGCGUGUACUGGACGUCCUGGCCUUCCCCUCCGGUUCUCCGCCGGUGCUCUUGACUGAGUGUCGGCGGCGGCCGGAACGUUUACUUUGAAAAAAUUAGAGUGUUCAAAGCAGGCUCUCGAGCCUGGAUAAUGGUGCAUGGAAUAAUGGAAUAGGACCUCGGUUCUAUUUUGUUGGUUUUCGGAGCGCGAGGUAAUGAUUAAGAGGGACAGACGGGGGCAUUCGUACUGUGCCGUUAGAGGUGAAAUUCUUGGAUCGGCGCAAGACGAACGACUGCGAAAGCAUUUGCCAAGAAUGUUUUCUUUAAUCAAGAGCGAAAGUCAGAGGUUCGAAGACGAUCAGAUACCGUCCUAGUUCUGACUAUAAACGAUGCCAACUAGCGAUCGGGGGGCGUUACAUUGACGACCCCUCCGGCAGCUUACGGGAAACCAAAGUCUUUGGGUUCCGGGGGAAGUAUGGUUGCAAAGCUGAAACUUAAAGGAAUUGACGGAAGGGCACCACCAGGAGUGGAGCCUGCGGCUUAAUUUGACUCAACACGGGAAAUCUCACCCGGCCCGGACAGA